This 329-nucleotide unclassified non-coding RNA is filed under the name soil metagenome. Its description in RNAcentral is "partial contains 5.8S ribosomal RNA, internal transcribed spacer 2, and large subunit ribosomal RNA". The stretch from base 1 to 120 matches the Rfam family "5.8S ribosomal RNA", at positions 35 to 154 of the family's 154-position model. The record is from RNAcentral.
GAUGAAGAACGUAGCGAAAUGCGAUAAGUAAUGUGAAUUGCAGAAUUCAGUGAAUCAUCGAAUCUUUGAACGCACAUUGCGCCCCUUGGUAUUCCGAGGGGCAUGCCUGUUCGAGCGUCAUUUCACCACUCAAGCCUGGCUUGGUGUUGGGCGACGUCCUCUUUGGGGACGCGCCUCGAAACGCUCGGCGGCGUGGCACCGGCUUUAAGCGUAGCAGAAUCUUUCGCUUUGGAAGUCGGGGCCCCGUCUGCCGGAAGACCUGCUCGCAAGGUUGACCUCGGAUCAGGCAGGGAUACCCGCUGAACUUAAGCAUAUCAAUAAGCGGAGGA